RNAcentral lists this ribosomal RNA (512 nucleotides) under Zunongwangia sp. RNAcentral describes it as "bacterial SSU rRNA". It matches the Rfam family "Bacterial small subunit ribosomal RNA", at positions 395 to 903 of the family's 1533-position model. The record is from RNAcentral. Lineage: Bacteria; Pseudomonadati; Bacteroidota; Flavobacteriia; Flavobacteriales; Flavobacteriaceae.
UGCCGCGUGCAGGAAGACUGCCCUAUGGGUUGUAAACUGCUUUUACAGAGGAAGAACCCUCCCCACGUGUGGGGAGUUGACGGUACUCUGCGAAUAAGGAUCGGCUAACUCCGUGCCAGCAGCCGCGGUAAUACGGAGGAUCCAAGCGUUAUCCGGAAUCAUUGGGUUUAAAGGGUCCGUAGGCGGGUUUAUAAGUCAGUGGUGAAAGUCUGCAGCUUAACUGUAGAACUGCCAUUGAUACUGUAGAUCUUGAAUCAUUAUGAAGUGGUUAGAAUGUGUAGUGUAGCGGUGAAAUGCAUAGAUAUUACACAGAAUACCGAUUGCGAAGGCAGAUCACUAAUAAUGUAUUGACGCUGAUGGACGAAAGCGUAGGUAGCGAACAGGAUUAGAUACCCUGGUAGUCUACGCCGUAAACGAUGGUUACUAGCUGUCCGGCCUAAUUGAGGGCUGGGUGGUUAAGCGAAAGUGAUAAGUAACCCACCUGGGGAGUACGUUCGCAAGAAUGAAACUCA